GAACGUAAUGGUCAGCUAAAGAAUUUAAUUCGUAAUGACGGGGUCACAGGUUCGAGUCCUGUUUGCGCACCA
This 72-nucleotide transfer RNA is filed under the name Bradyrhizobium sp. RNAcentral describes it as "tRNA-Thr". The record is from RNAcentral. Lineage: Bacteria; Pseudomonadati; Pseudomonadota; Alphaproteobacteria; Hyphomicrobiales; Nitrobacteraceae.